UUUCCGUAGGUGAACCUGCGGAAGGAUCAUUAUUGAAUGAAACACUUCUGGCUUUAUGCUGUUGUGCUGGCCCUUUGGGCAAUGUGCACACGGCUCUGGUCACUUAUUUCUUCUGUUCCACCUGUGCACUGCCUGUAGACACGCUGUGUCUAUGAUAUUUGUUAACACACAACAAUGUUAGUUGGCAUGUUAUAUAUAAUAAUAAAAUAUACAACUUUCAACAACGGAUCUCUUGGCUCUC
RNAcentral lists this unclassified non-coding RNA (241 nucleotides) under plant metagenome. Its description in RNAcentral is "partial contains small subunit ribosomal RNA, internal transcribed spacer 1, and 5.8S ribosomal RNA". The record is from RNAcentral.